GACGAGAAUUAUAUUUUACAUCCGAGAGGGGCUAUAAUUGAAGAUACUAUUGUUUCUGGUACAAAAGUUCCUAUAUCAAUGGGAAAUGCCCUACCCUUGAGUGCGGUUUGA
RNAcentral lists this ribosomal RNA (111 nucleotides) under Triticum aestivum (bread wheat). RNAcentral describes it as "partial small subunit ribosomal RNA". Lineage: Eukaryota; Viridiplantae; Streptophyta; Magnoliopsida; Poales; Poaceae. The record is from RNAcentral.